Molecule: ribosomal RNA, 625 nt
Filed under: Trichocladium sp.
Lineage: Eukaryota; Fungi; Ascomycota; Sordariomycetes; Sordariales; Chaetomiaceae
Description: SSU rRNA
Rfam family: Eukaryotic small subunit ribosomal RNA
Source: RNAcentral
UCUAGUAUAAGCAAUUAUACAGCGAAACUGCGAAUGGCUCAUUAAAUCAGUUAUCGUUUAUUUGAUAGUACCUUACUACAUGGAUAACCGUGGUAAUUCUAGAGCUAAUACAUGCUAAAAAUCCCGACUUCGGAAGGGAUGUAUUUAUUAGAUUAAAAACCAAUGCCCUUCGGGGCUCUCUGGUGAUUCAUAAUAACUUCUCGAAUCGCACGGCCUUGCGCCGGCGAUGGUUCAUUCAAAUUUCUGCCCUAUCAACUUUCGACGGCUGGGUCUUGGCCAGCCAUGGUGACAACGGGUAACGGAGGGUUAGGGCUCGACCCCGGAGAAGGAGCCUGAGAAACGGCUACUACAUCCAAGGAAGGCAGCAGGCGCGCAAAUUACCCAAUCCCGACACGGGGAGGUAGUGACAAUAAAUACUGAUACAGGGCUCUUUUGGGUCUUGUAAUUGGAAUGAGUACAAUUUAAAUCCCUUAACGAGGAACAAUUGGAGGGCAAGUCUGGUGCCAGCAGCCGCGGUAAUUCCAGCUCCAAUAGCGUAUAUUAAAGUUGUUGAGGUUAAAAAGCUCGUAGUUGAACCUUGGGCCUAGCCGGCCGGUCCGCCUCACCGCGUGCACUGGCUCGGCUG